This 403-nucleotide transfer-messenger RNA is filed under the name Bacteroides sp. It matches the Rfam family "transfer-messenger RNA". Rfam says of the family: Bacterial tmRNA, also known as 10Sa RNA or SsrA, is named for its dual tRNA and mRNA-like properties. Its role is to liberate the mRNA from a stalled ribosome. The record is from RNAcentral. Lineage: Bacteria; Pseudomonadati; Bacteroidota; Bacteroidia; Bacteroidales; Bacteroidaceae.
GGGGCUGACUGGCUUUGACAGCGUGUAGAAGCGGUAAGCAAGCAUGCAGAGCCUUGAUGCGUAAGCUCUAUAAUACCGACGUAUCGAACUAUAAUUGGCGAAAAUAACAAUUACGCUCUCGCUGCGUGAUCUGAAGCACAGUAGGAUCCCUUUAUUCUGCUCAAAGUGAGCAGAACGAGACAUCGCUCCAUUGCCCCGUUCCGAGACGUUUGGACAAAGCGGUGCUGAGAAAUUCGGAAAUAGGGGAGCAGCAGCCUUGACUGCUCUCCGAGAUUUAAAGGCUAAGGAAAUGGUUGGUAGUCGCGAGCCUGCCAUUUCUCGAAAANCAAGUCGAUGACUAAGCAUGUAGAAAACUUAUUGGUUCCGCGUUUGGACGAGGGUUCAAACCCCUCCANCUCCACUA